RNA transcript from Dioscorea cayenensis subsp. rotundata (Guinea yam), 2061 nucleotides. It is a transcript of the gene named serine/threonine-protein phosphatase 2A activator, with no coding region annotated. Lineage: Eukaryota; Viridiplantae; Streptophyta; Magnoliopsida; Dioscoreales; Dioscoreaceae. The record is from RefSeq and is a predicted model, not a curated record. The transcript is spliced from 4 exons.
ACAGCCCAACGUAACCGCCAAGCAACCCCUUCAAACCUUUCUCCGAUCGCACUCCCCAUCCAUCUCGACGGCGAUCACCACCACCACCACCGCCAUGGCCGACGACCACUCCUCCUCCUCACCUCAUCUAUGCCACUCCUGCGGCAACCCUACCACCGCCGCUCCUCCCCCCACCGCUGCCCCUUGGUCCGACGCCUCUCCUCCCCCGUCUACCGCCCCAUCCGAGCCCCGGCCAUCAACGCCCCCGCCCCCCAACACCGCCGCGAUCAUCCUCUCUCCGGUCCCCCAACCCCUCCCCGUCCCCCCUCUCUCCUUCCCCCACUCCUUCGAAUCCCCUUCCAAGAAGAUCGCCUCCCCUGACGACAUUGCCCACUUCCACUCCAUCCCCGCCGGUCGCCACUUCCUCGGCUUCGUCUCCGCUCUCUCCCAAUCCGCCCGUGGCCUCAAGAUCUCCGAUCCUGUUCCCAUCUCCGCCACUAUCUCCUCCCUUCUCUCCCUCCUCCAAGCACUCUCUUCCUGGCUCCCCCUCUUCCCUCCUCUCCCCCACCCUUCCCGCUACGGUAACCCCGCUUUCCGAUCCUGGCACCAGAAGCUCGUCGACGACGCUUCGUCCCUCGUCCUCCCUCUCCUCCCAUCGGACGACCUUCGCCCUGCCUCUAUUGAGCUCGUCCCUUACCUUCUUGACUCCUUCGGCAAUCCCACUCGCAUGGACUAUGGCACCGGUCAUGAGACCCACUUCGCCGCUUUCCUCUACUGCCUAGCGCGCCUCGGCGUUGUCUCCGAGCCUGAUUACCCUGCCCUUGUCACCCGCGUCUUUGUCUCUUACCUCAGUUUGAUGCGCGAAGUUCAGAUGACUUACCAGCUCGAGCCAGCCGGCUCUCAUGGUGUCUGGGGCCUCGACGAUUACCAUUUUCUGCCUUUUGUGUUCGGCUCUGCGCAGCUCGUUGAUCACAAGUAUAUGAAGCCCAAGUCGAUUCACAAUCAGGAUAUCUUGGAUAAUUUCUCCAAUGAGUAUAUGUACCUGGCUUGUGUGGCGUUUGUGAAGAAGGUGAAGAGGGGGCCAUUUGCAGAGCACUCGCCCUUGCUGGAUGAUAUCAGUGGGGUGGCCACUUGGAGCAAAGUGAAUAGUGGUUUGUUGAAGAUGUAUAAGGCGGAGGUGCUUGAGAAGGUGCCCAUCAUGCAGCAUUUCCUCUUUGGAUCUAUCAUCAAGUGGGAGUGAACUCAACUGUUAUUAUCACCAGGGGCAUCCUUCGGAGUACAAACAUAGGUGUCCCGGUGCUGCGUGGAUAUCUAGAGUGACAUGUGAUGAUGGAACUUGGGAAAGUAUACGGGGACAUUGAAUGUGUCUUUCUUGACUUCAGAGGCAUUUUAAUUGAAGUCAUCACUCAGAGACGCAAAAGAAGAGCAGUGAAGAGCCAUGCAGUUUUUGCAGGCAAAACACUGGAUUAGCUCACAUAUGUCUGUUGUUUCUGGAGGUGGUUGCUAUCACAGUAACAAUAAAGCUUUCAUUAAACACCCAUCAACUCAGUGCCAUUGUACCGCCACAAACGACUACUGUUUUGUGGGGCUUAUACUUUGUUAUCAAUCAAAUGAAUCAUCUGAGGAGAAACACUGUGCCAGUCACAUUUUUUAGUAAAACAGCUCUUAGAGAUAAUCAAAAGUUUUCCAUUCUCUAAAGCUUUCAUUAGCUGAUGGAGUUGCUGGUCAUGAAGAGUGGCUUGGUGAAAUGUAUGAGAGAGAAAAAUAAGACAUCAAUGAAGAAAAGCUGUUUCCCUUUCUAAAUUUCCUCAGGUGUGAUGAUGUCUUCCCACCUCCAAGCACACCAGUAGGUGAACACAUUUAUUUCUAUCUCUUUCUCUUUCUGUGUUUGUGUUUAUGUGUGUGUGUGUAUAAAAGGAUCAGGCAAGCAGAAGUGACCCAAUGCUGAACAGAGGACUGAAAGACAUCUGAGUUGGAUGGCUGCUAAGGUAAGCCUGUGUAGUUUGUCUACUGUAGCUUCCAGACCUGGCAACUCAAGUGUGGUGUGUAGUGAAUCAGUGAUAAAUAACACUGUUAUAAAAA